Molecule: long non-coding RNA, 1324 nt
Organism: Triticum dicoccoides
Lineage: Eukaryota; Viridiplantae; Streptophyta; Magnoliopsida; Poales; Poaceae
Exons: 5
Source: RefSeq, a predicted model, not a curated record
UACCCCCAAAUCUCAUUCUUCCUCCUAACCUAAAUCCGCCGCCGCCGCCGCCGCCGCUCGAGCUCUCUCUCGCCGUCCAGCUACGUGCUUUUCGGCCGGCGAGGCUGUGACCCCCUCUCCCACUUGUUCCCCAGCGUCUCCACCGUCGACCCCACACCAUUCUGUUCCUCGGUGAGUGCUCUCUCCGGCCAACCUCCGCGCGUAAGCUUCCAGCGAGGCUGCCGCCGCCCUGCCUGGCCCGUCCUCCCCCUCUCCACCAUGGCCGUCAGAGUACAGAAGAGAUCUUGGAGGCGGCGGGAGAGGGCUCGGGAUAGGGUUAAUGAAGGGCUUCAUAUAGAGAGGAGAAAAGAGGUCCUCGGCUCCUUCCCCUUCGGCCUUCCCCAGCCGGAUCUGCUCCCCUUCGGCCUUCCCCAGCCGGAUCUGCUCCCCUUCGCCCUUCCCCAGCCGGAUCUGCUCCCCUUCAUCCACCCUGACUCCCCGAGCUCCUCCCUCAGGAAUGUCUGAAGAGAGUUAUCCCCUAUGAGCACAUGGACAUUGCAUAAUCAGUCUUAUCAUGGGAAUAAUUUGCCUGCCUAAAGAAGGCGAAGCAAUCAGCCAAGCAAUGAAACUGGAGUUCAGUAAAGAGAAAUCUUCCAGUGACAAUCAAGAGUUGAAUCGUAGACAUUCCAAAGGAGACAAGUCAUCCAACCAUCCAGCAGAAGUGUAGACAGUUUAACGAAACCAGCACUUGAUCCGGGCAAUAAUAGCGCAUCAGUUUCAUCUAAUUCUAUACAUAAGAAGAUUAUAUGGUCGUGAAGCUCGGCGUUGACAAGAGCAUCACCCUGUAGCUGUGCGUCCUUCUCUAACAAACACUCAAAGCACUACCAUGCCGGGUUGUGGGUGCGUAUGAUUUGAAUCUGCAGUAAAGACUGGUACUGCCUCAUCGACCAAGGAUCUACGGCGACGACGGCACCAGCGACCCCAUGGAGGCAUCACCGAAACCCUAGCCGCUACUGCUCUCCCCUGAGUCCCCUCCUCAUCUCCUCCCUCGUGCGAUGUUCAAGCUGGACGAUGUGGCGAUGGAAUAUGGAUCAAUGAGACGAAGAAAGGUGUUGAUGUCAAGUAGGAGAAUGAUGGAAGGAUCUUGUGGUUAUCUAGUUGCCCACCAGUAGGAGUCAAUGUAGAUGAUGUGCCUCUAGGGCAAAUUCUAGAAACCAAAGCGACCCAUUUUUGCUCUCAAGCAAUGAACAUAUUUUGUUCCCUAUUUAAUAAGUUAAAUUAGUUUAUGGGAAAUUUGGAUGUGAAAAUUAUUGAAUGUGUGUUAUUAUUGUUUGGUUUUGGUUUA